UGCCAGCCGCCGCGGUAAUACGGAGGGGGCAAGCGUUGUUCGGAAUUACUGGGCGUAAAGGGCGCGUAGGCGGGAUGUCAAGUCAGGGGUGAAAGGCCUGGGCUCAACCUGGGAACUGCCUUUGAAACUGACAUUCUGGAGUCCGGGAGAGGAUGGCGGAAUUCCCAGUGUAGAGGUGAAAUUCGUAGAUAUUGGGAAGAACACCGGUGGCGAAGGCAGCUCUCUGGGACGGUACUGACGCUGAGACGCGAAGGCGUGGGUAGCGAACGGGAUUAGAUA
RNAcentral lists this ribosomal RNA (279 nucleotides) under uncultured bacterium. RNAcentral describes it as "partial 16S ribosomal RNA". It matches the Rfam family "Bacterial small subunit ribosomal RNA", at positions 506 to 784 of the family's 1533-position model. The record is from RNAcentral.